Non-coding RNA from Acanthosepion pharaonis, 99 nucleotides. Lineage: Eukaryota; Metazoa; Mollusca; Cephalopoda; Sepiida; Sepiidae. The record is from the annotation of a GenBank genome assembly.
ACGUUGAAACACCCGUUUCCGUACGCUCACUGAAGUUAAGCAACCUCAAACUUGGUCAGUACCUAGAUGGGUGACCGUUUGAGAAUAGCAAGUGAUGUA